UACGAAGGGGGCUAGCGUUGCUCGGAAUCACUGGGCGUAAAGCGCACGUAGGCGGAUUGUUAAGUCAGGGGUGAAAUCCUGGAGCUCAACUCCAGAACUGCCUUUGAUACUGGCGAUCUUGAGUCCGGGAGAGGUGAGUGGAACUGCGAGUGUAGAGGUGAAAUUCGUAGAUAUUCGCAAGAACACCAGUGGCGAAGGCGACUUUCUAGUUUAUACCUGACGCUGAGGCGCGAAAGCAAGGGGAUCAAACAGG
Molecule: ribosomal RNA, 253 nt
Filed under: uncultured bacterium
Lineage: Bacteria
Description: partial 16S ribosomal RNA
Rfam family: Bacterial small subunit ribosomal RNA
Source: RNAcentral